Non-coding RNA from Lupinus angustifolius (narrow-leaved blue lupine), 92 nucleotides. NCBI's taxonomy places the organism in Eukaryota, Viridiplantae, Streptophyta, Magnoliopsida, Fabales, Fabaceae. The record is from Rfam.
CGGAGCGAUCAUUCCAGCACUAAAUGAAGCGUGCUUGGGCGAGAGUAGUUAUAGGAUGGGUGACCUCCUAGGAAGUGCUCGUGUUGAACCUC